This 72-nucleotide transfer RNA is filed under the name Candidatus Kaiserbacteria bacterium. Its description in RNAcentral is "tRNA-Arg". It matches the Rfam family "tRNA". From Rfam's summary of the family: Transfer RNA (tRNA) molecules are approximately 80 nucleotides in length. Their secondary structure includes four short double-helical elements and three loops (D, anti-codon, and T loops). Further hydrogen bonds mediate the characteristic L-shaped molecular structure. tRNAs have two regions of fundamental functional importance: the anti-codon, which is responsible for specific mRNA codon recognition, and the 3' end, to which the tRNAs corresponding amino acid is attached (by aminoacyl-tRNA synthetases). tRNAs cope with the degeneracy of the genetic code in two manners: having more than one tRNA (with a specific anti-codon) for a particular amino acid; and 'wobble' base-pairing, i.e. permitting non-standard base-pairing at the 3rd anti-codon position. The record is from RNAcentral. Lineage: Bacteria; Candidatus Kaiseribacteriota.
GCCCUCGUAGCACAAUGGAUAGUGCGUCGGACUUCUAAGCCGUUGAUGUUGGUUCGAUUCCAACCGAGGGCA